This 65-nucleotide transfer RNA is filed under the name Drabescoides nuchalis. RNAcentral describes it as "tRNA-Val". The record is from RNAcentral. Lineage: Eukaryota; Metazoa; Arthropoda; Insecta; Hemiptera; Cicadellidae.
CAGAUUGUAGCUUAUGUUAAAGCUUUUUAGUUACAUUAAUAGGAAAAUGAAUUUAUUCUGUCUGA